GGUUUACAUGUUAACGUAUAUCGGCAGUCAUGUACACACGAGAGGUUGGCUGGAGUGGAAUACAACAUUUGCUUUAGAUACUCUAUACUACGGUGAAUAUUUGAACUCGGGUCCCGGGUCGAACCUUUCGCAACGUGUGAAUUGGCCAGGGUAUCGUGUCAUCAAUUCGACGGCUGAGGCAAACCGGUUUACGGUGACGGAGUUUAUAUAUGGUUCAUCGUGGUUACCUUCAACUGGGGUUUCGUUCUUGGCCGGAUUAAACAUUUAGGUAAAGGAAAAUAAAAUGAUUUUCUUUCCGAUGCAUUGUUUCAUUCUUGCGUCCAUAUAUUAAUGGACAUAUAUGAUUAAUCCUUUCCUAUACAAUUUAACUUUUUAAUUGUAUGAUUUCGGGAUAUAUAUAUUAUUCAAUAAGAUCGUGACUCGAGGAUAAUUUACAUUUGCAAUAUUCUUUUCGGUGGUACUAAUUAUAUAAUUCGGUGUGAUGAAGUAAUCGUUGGAUGUUCUGUGACACAGACUAGUUUGAUUUUACAUAUAUUUUGAAUAGAAAUAUAAUGUUUACUUUAGAAAGAAAUAUAAAGUGAAACUUUAGUGUUUUUUUUUGUGUGUCAAUAAGAAGGUCCAGCGACGUCAAAUUUUUUGAACCGAUUGAAUGUUUUGAAAAUUUUAGCGAAUAUCAAACAUGCAUUGUUUAUAAAAAUAACUAAUUAAAAAGGGGAGAAAUGGAGGCGUCGGUGCCGGUACGAACCAAUGUGACUGAAAUCAAUAUGGUCACAGCACAGAACCGACACCGACUGUGGGGUCCACGAUUUUGGGAACUUUAGUUCCAAUAAUUCGAGAACCGAUUAACUCACUAUGCAGCAAUAAUACCAAACACCAACAUGUUCUCUUACGUUAUGCAUUAUAAUUCGUUCUGAUUUAAACUAAGAAAGUAUUAUAUAACAAAUUGUUGACUUAAGAUUAGCUACUUAUAAAUGUAAUAAACUAUUUUUAAAUCUAUUAAGGUCGACAAACUAGAGUUUUUGAAUCAGUUAUUGUUACACCAAUCAACUAUUUAAUCUAAUUUUUAACUCUCCUAUUGUCUCCAAUCAAUUGUUGUAUGAUCCAUAGGUGUUUAGUAGAUAGUUAAUCUACAAGUUAAUGUGGCUAUACAACUGCUUCUAGAUAGCUAUUUUGUUGGAAAUUCCUUUAUUCACGUGUUUAAACGAAUAUAUCUACUGAAAUUCAAUUCUACUUAAUACUUGAUUGGUAGAGCAUUAGCAUAAGCAUUAUGUUCCUUAUUAUCUUAUCAACAUUUAGCACAUAAGUAUUUAGAAAAACAUUUACAUGAUGCUAAUGCUCUCCAAAUGCUCUUUUUGCUCAAUGCUCUCAUUUGGAGCUUUUGGUAGAGCAUUUGCAGUUAGAAUAUAUAAUUUUUUUAAAAAAAUUAUAUAUAAUUAAUUUAUUUUUGUUUAAUAUUAUAAAAAAUUAUGUUUAUAAUAAAAAAACAAAAUUUGCUUUAAAAAAAAUAAAAGUUGCAAUUAAAUUUUUUUGAACUUUUUAAAAAGAACAAUAUUUCACAUUUAAAGUAUAAUAUAAUUUAAAUAAUUACACGUAUCAUUCAUUAUUUUUAAUAACAAAACAUAACAUAAUAUAUAUUUAUAUAUUGCAUAUUAUAAAAUAAAAAUAUCUAUAUUAUUUAGAAAUAAGUAAAUUAUAUAUCACUUAUUAAUUUUUACGAUAAUAUUAUAAUUUAUUUGUUUUGAAUAAAUUUUAUAUUUUAAAUAAAUUUUAUAUUUUAAAUAAAUUUUACAUUUUUAAGAAAAUAAUAAUUCACAUUUAAAAAUUAAUUUAUAUAAUUAAAUAAUAUUUAUUAUUUUUAAUAACAAACAUAUUAUUUCAAAAUAAAUAUAUCAUAUAUUAACUUUUGUGGUAAUUUUAAAAUUGCAUAGUGUUUCUGCUCAACCAGUCAGUUUAUUAAAAACUUUAAUGAAAGCAUGCAGCUUCUGCAGCAUACUGCUUAUACAACAUACUGCUACUGCUUUAUCAUCUGCUGUACCAAACGAGGCCUAAGUGGCGUUUCAUAAUGUUAUAAGAUUAGCUAUGGAUCGGAUGAUACGACGUUGCUGAUCUAACCGAUGACAAAAAAAAGUUUAGAAAUUCAAAAAUAUUUGGGGAAAAUACCAACACAAUUUUAUUUGAUACAAAACAAACCAUUUUGGUUAUUUAAGGUGCCUUAGUCAAAAUUUAAUAAUUUUUUUACUCACAAAACAUGUAAUAUGAUCACCAAUUCCCAAUUGAGCUUUUCUUCUACACACUUUAUCGUUAUAAUGUAUAUGGAUCGAUGAUGUGAAAAUAUGAUAAAUAAAAAAAAGUAAUAAAGAAUAAAUAUGAUUCACUAAAUCAGUUUUACAUACGGAAAAAGAAAGGUUUUAUAAUUAGAGACAUUAUAUUUUUUGAUACAUUAAUUUUUUUUUUGGUAAAAUGUUAAAUAUUAUUACAAAUUUUCAAAUUUUGACAAACAAUACAAAUAUAUCAAAUGAUGGAAAGAAAUAAAAACAUACUGUAACAACAGAGGAACAUACUGAAAGCAACGGAAACUGAAGCAAAUAAGUGGUCUAAUAACGAGAGAGGUUCAGACCUACCAAUCAUGAUGGUUGCAGUGAGCUACUAAGAGAGGGGCACCCUCAAACCCUGAAUGCAACAGUUUAUACAAAUUCCAACAAGAGCCCAGAGCUUACCGAACGAAGAAUCCAAGCACAAACAAGUCUAAAGCAUACCCGAAAAUAGAGACCACUAGUGUAUAGGAGAAGUCGUAAACUGACGAUGCUCUCGUUCAGCAUCUUGUGCCAAAGAUUACCGCUUUCUACUGACGAGAUAUGAAACUUGAUACAUUAAAAUUAUCUUGGAUAAGUGUUCUAGUAACCAAUUUUUAGAACAAUUAUUGUUAACAGAUACAUAGAUCUAAAACCAAUAAAAAAAUUCAAACUGAAAUUUAACAUAUACAUUUGGACAACUAUUUGACACAUAAACCAAAUCAAUCAUUCUAGUUCAGUAACUUUUUGUUUAAUCUACUGCUCAUUAUGUGCAGCUUAUUUCAUCUCAAAUUUCUUGUUUUAAUAUCCUUUGUUCAAGAACAAGUUAAAAAAAAAAAAUCAUAGUAAAUACAGUGGAUCGCGGCCCACAUAAAGGCCCAUAUGUUAAUGGUUAGAAGUUAGCCUUCCUUACUGUCUUUUCUCUAUCCCCACGCAGAAACAUGGUUAUCCCAGUUACCAAACAAAGCACACAAAUUCAUCAUCCCCAAACCAAACCCACACUCUUCUAAAACCCUAACAAGUUCCUCUUUUACCUCUCUCACUGAGGACCCAUCAUUUUGAACCAUGUCGAUCGCUAAAGCCGCCUUCUUCAACCACCUGCAAACGCUCGCGAGAGCCUACCGCCCUCGCCUACCGCCGCCGUUUUCCGCCGUCCGUUACAUGUCUUUCGCGACGCAAGAAGAAGCCGCCGCGGAACGUCGCAAGCGCAAGCGCCGUCUCCCGUUACUCAAACAAAUCCAUUUGGUUGUUAGUUUGAAACUUAUUUUACAGAUUUAAAUUUGUUCAGACUUUUAAUGCUUCGUAGUUCAGUUACUGUUUUUGUAUUGGAUUUUCAGUAUGAUUCUGAAGUUUGGUUAGGUAACACACUUACACUGAACCGCACAUCCUAUGUGGUACUGCCGCUUAUCCAACCAAACUCACAUGCAUGUUGUUGUGGUCUUAAUGUGCAUUGAGUGCAGUCUACUCUACUCAAAUCAUACAACAUUCUUUGGUAAAACAAAGUUUAAAUACAUUACACUCAUCUAGAACUCAUUUAUAUAUCCCACAUCCAAGUACGUACAUCAGUAAAUGCAUGCAUGUUCCAUAUAUGCUAAUUUGUAUGCAUAUUCAAAUCUUCAUGUAGGUAUGUAUGCAUACUUAUAUCAUAUAUGCAUACGCAUCUAGAUAGAUAAAAAAACUCACAUGGAACGCAACCUAAAGUUGGAGGUACGCCGCGCAAUUACUGACCCACAAAUUGGUACAUAUAUAUACACAUUCAUGAUGGGGAGACAUAGAAGAGUUGCAUUUAUUUAUAUAUAUAGUUGGAUGUAGGUCAUUGCUAAUAUUGUGGUUGGACGCGUUAGAGAUCACUAGUUUCAUUAACAUUUCUAUGUAAAGACAUUUCUCAAAUACUAGUCUUUGAUUUUAAGUAAUAUAAAUCCAAUUUUUGUUUUUGUUUCAGUUCAUUUGUUGAAUCUAUAUUUAGAGAUAAACUAUUAUUGAUUUUAAGUAAUUACAUUGGUUUCUUAUGUUUAAUAAACUUAGAGUUGUUAAAACACAAAAACAUAACUGUGUUUCUUGUUUUGUUUUCCAGCUGCGACCGGAGCCGGUUUUAUUGCAAGAGACAUAACAUUCGAAAACUGGGCCGGUCCGGCAAAGCACCAGGCAGUUGCUCUCCGCAUUGGGGCUGACCAUGCGGUGAUAUAUCGAUGCAAUAUAAUUGGUUACCAAGACACACUAUACGUCCAUUCAAACCGCCAAUUCUUCCGUGAAUGUGAUAUUUACGGUACAGUCGAUUUCAUUUUCGGUAAUGCAGCCGUGGUACUACAAAACUGUAGCAUCUACGCACGCAAACCCAUGGACCUUCAGAAAAACACAAUCACGGCUCAAAACCGGAAAGAUCCGAACCAAAACACCGGAAUAUCGAUACAUGCGUCUAGGGUUUUGGCCACCCCUGAUCUCCAAGCGACCAAUGGUACCAUCCAGACGUAUCUAGGCCGACCGUGGAAGCUAUUCUCUAGGACGGUUUACAUGUUAACGUAUAUCGGCAGUCAUGUACACACGAGAGGUUGGCUGGAGUGGAAUACAACAUUUGCUUUAGAUACUCUAUACUACGGUGAAUAUUUGAACUCGGGUCCCGGGUCGAACCUUUCGCAACGUGUGAAUUGGCCAGGGUAUCGUGUCAUCAAUUCGACGGCUGAGGCAAACCGGUUUACGGUGACGGAGUUUAUAUAUGGUUCAUCGUGGUUACCUUCAACUGGGGUUUCGUUCUUGGCCGGAUUAAACAUUUAGGUAAAGGAAAAUAAAAUGAUUUUCUUUCCGAUGCAUUGUUUCAUUCUUGCGUCCAUAUAUUAAUGGACAUAUAUGAUUAAUCC
RNAcentral lists this long non-coding RNA (5146 nucleotides) under Brassica napus (rape). RNAcentral describes it as "long non-coding RNA (BNAP_LNC000523)". The record is from RNAcentral. Lineage: Eukaryota; Viridiplantae; Streptophyta; Magnoliopsida; Brassicales; Brassicaceae.